Molecule: long non-coding RNA, 1995 nt
Organism: Biomphalaria glabrata
Lineage: Eukaryota; Metazoa; Mollusca; Gastropoda; Planorbidae
Exons: 5
Source: RefSeq, a predicted model, not a curated record
UUUAAUGUAGCCUAUAAUGCUAGUUUCCAGUACCGGUAGAUAUUUUUAAUGUAAACAAACUUUACACAAGCAAAGAAUAUUAACAAUAGGGGUUUUACCAAUCGUGUUUGAAUUUAUUUAGUCGUUUUGAAACAUGACUAAUAAGAAUGCUUUUAUAUUGAUUUAAAUGUUUGUCUCAGUUAUAUUUAAAUAUAGAUAUCAAUUUAUAAAGAUCGAGUGCGUGUAAAAUUCCUACAAAUAAAGAUCAGCUUAGGUUAACACGUGUUUGACGUUUUCCUUGCUCGUUGCAUAGAACGCGUGCUAUCAAGCAAGAAAGUACACGUGUUCACACUGAUGGUCAGUAGGUCAAGGCUCACUGACUCUCACUGUAAAUCUUUUUCGUACCACCUCUUUACUCGAUCUUUUUGUUGACGUAAUAGACCUUGUGAUCUCUUUCUUUUAUGAGUUACACAAAUGUUUAGGUCAAUAACAUUCAAAUAUAAUGAAACACGUAACUAAAACUAUCUUAUGAUUUAAAUAUAAUUCAAGGAAUUUUUAUUUUAAAGUAUAAGAUAUAACUGGCAAGAUCAUGAUAUGAACGACAGGAUUUGCUAUUCAGUUUCAUACAUUUAAAAAAAAGUUAUGACUCAAAAUACAUGCUACAUGACAGAUCUAAUAAACUACAUUAUAGGCACAGUUCGUAAAUAUUAUCGAUGACUGAUUCUACGAAGAUAAAGAGCAUAAAAAAAAUCAAGAGGCAUGCAAAUGUGUUGUAGCCAUAGUUGUAGACUAUGUACGUGUCAGUGUUUUAUCUAAUAUCUACUGUAUACCCCAUUCUAGAAUAUUUAUGAUUUAAAAUAUAUAUAAAAUUAAUUAGAUCCAUAUUUUAAAUCGUGCAAUCUAACUUUGUAAGAACCAUCUUCGUUAAUUAUAAUGUCUAUAAUGCAAUUUGUGUAAGUACGGUAGUCAAGUAGAUGAGGUCACGAGAUGAACCAACACAUCCUCACAUCAUUUGUUCAAAUGCUGCACACUGCUUUAUGGUAUCGAAAUACUAGGGUUAAUAAAACAAACAAUUUAAAUAUUCAACAAGAGACACUACUAAUACAGUAUUAGAGAAGAUUAUAGUCCUGAGGGGGGGGGGGGGGGGAAGAAAGACUGUGCCGCUGGUCAAUGUGUAGGCUACCCGGUCACGUGGCUUACUUACAAUUGACCAACCAGAGACAGGUCUACAUGAUAGGCUACAGCCUAUUGCAUCAUUAAGAAAAAUAGCGCCAGAACCAAACACCAUGACCAUCCCAUUCCAGUCAUAGUACUCAUAGAUCUACUUCAAGAUUGUGUUGAUUUGUGAUUAACUCGACUCUAUUCUAACAACUUUGGAAUGUGUGCGUCAAGCAAAGACUCUGGGAACCAAAGAGUGAAAGAAUGAUGGCAUCACUAUGAAUCAUGAUCACUUCUUGCUGGAUCUGUCCAAGAGUCAAUGAGUACAGGUGGACCAUGUUGGAAAAUAACUUUCAGUCAAGACUCAAGUUGAGACAAGAGCUCCAUUGAUGUUAUUGAUCAAACUGAACAUGUUCUAGAGAUACUGGAGAAAAGAUUUGAGUGCAGUACAGACUCAUUAAUUAAAAGAAGCAGAGAUAAAUACAAUCAGGAUUGGGUAUGAAGCAAAUUUCCCAAUGGCAAAUAAUGUAUCACUGUUGGAAAUAGAAGUGAAACUGAAGUAUGAAGAUUCUCAUGAAAAUUUGAUUAUUCAAGUGAGUUACCCAAGUCUGCUGUCAAAUCAAAUAACUUAGAGAAAGUACUUGAACUUGGCACAUGUGAUGGCACAGAAAUCGUAAAAAAAGAAGGAUGAUGGCUUCAACUCUGAAGGAACAUCCCAAACAUGUAAAACAUUUUACAAACAAACCUAAUCAAAGUUUAUAAAUGUUUAAAAAAAGUAAGAUGCACAAGCAAAUUUAUUUACAUACUACAGAUAUUAGAACUAAUGACUAAUGGAAAAAAAAAACUACCUAUCUAGAC